This 498-nucleotide ribosomal RNA is filed under the name Aneurinibacillus sp. 10_06.05. RNAcentral's name for it is "bacterial SSU rRNA". It matches the Rfam family "Bacterial small subunit ribosomal RNA", at positions 81 to 575 of the family's 1533-position model. The record is from RNAcentral. Lineage: Bacteria; Bacillati; Bacillota; Bacilli; Caryophanales; Paenibacillaceae.
CGCUUCGGAGGUUAGCGGCGGACGGGUGAGUAACACGUAGGCGACCUGCCUGUACGACCGGGGUAACUUCGGGAAACCGAAGCUAAUACCGGAUACGAUGGCAAACCGCAUGGUUUGCCAUGGAAAGACCAUGAGUCACGUACAGAUGGGCCUGCGGCGCAUUAGCUAGUUGGUAGGGUAACGGCCUACCAAGGCGACGAUGCGUAGCCGACCUGAGAGGGUGAUCGGCCACACUGGGACUGAGACACGGCCCAGACUCCUACGGGAGGCAGCAGUAGGGAAUCUUCCGCAAUGGACGAAAGUCUGACGGAGCAACGCCGCGUGAACGAUGAAGGUUUUCGGAUCGUAAAGUUCUGUUGUUAGGGAAGAACCGCCGGGAUGACCUCCCGGUCUGACGGUACCUAACGAGAAAGCCCCGGCUAACUACGUGCCAGCAGCCGCGGUAAUACGUAGGGGGCAAGCGUUGUCCGGAAUUAUUGGGCGUAAAGCGCGCGCAGG